UACGUAGGGGGCGAGCGUUGUCCGGAGUUACUGGGCGUAAAGCGUACGCAGGCGGUCUUUCGCGUUCGCACGGACAGUCGUCGGCUCAACUGACGAAGGGGUGAGAAAACGGAAAGACUUGAGGGCUCACGAGGGACACGGAAUUCCGGGUGUAGUGGUGAAAUGCGUAGAUAUCCGGAGGAACACCAAAGGCGUAGGCAGUGUCCUGGGGAGUCGCUGACGCUCAGGUACGAAAGCCAGGGGAG
RNAcentral lists this ribosomal RNA (245 nucleotides) under uncultured bacterium. RNAcentral describes it as "partial 16S ribosomal RNA". It matches the Rfam family "Bacterial small subunit ribosomal RNA", at positions 524 to 768 of the family's 1533-position model. The record is from RNAcentral.